This 253-nucleotide ribosomal RNA is filed under the name uncultured bacterium. RNAcentral describes it as "partial 16S ribosomal RNA". It matches the Rfam family "Bacterial small subunit ribosomal RNA", at positions 524 to 776 of the family's 1533-position model. The record is from RNAcentral.
UACGAAGGGCGCAAGCGUUGUCCGGGAUUAUUGGGCGUAAAGAGCUCGUAGGCGGUUUGUCGCGUCUGCUGUGAAAACCUAAGGCUCAACCUUGGGCUUGCAGUGGGUACGGGCAGACUAGAGUGCGGUAGGGGUGACUGGAAUUCCUGGUGUAGCGGUGGAAUGCGCAGAUAUCAGGAGGAACACCGAUGGCGAAGGCAGGUCACUGGGCCGCAACUGACGCUGAGGAGCGAAAGCAUGGGGAGCGAACAGG